RNAcentral lists this long non-coding RNA (1914 nucleotides) under Sus scrofa (pig). RNAcentral describes it as "lncRNA (ENSSSCG00065050415.1)". The record is from RNAcentral. Lineage: Eukaryota; Metazoa; Chordata; Mammalia; Artiodactyla; Suidae.
CCAGUAUAUAUUCUAGGUACACUUGCUAGACACACAAAUGGUAGUUUUUACCAAAGGUGUUUAUUUAAACUCAGUUAAUAGAAAAGAUCAGAGUGUAUAAUUCCCCAAAGGAUUCUGCAACAAACAGCAACAAUAGUAAAUAAAAGUCAGUUUAGUUUUAAAAUAAACAAAUUGCACCCAUUCAGAACAGGUGAAAAAAAAUGCUUUGACUUUAGUUUUAAAAUAAAAAGUUGCACUCAUUCAGAAUAGGUGGGAAAAAAAUGCUUUAAAGCAGAUUUUGUGAAAUAUUUCAGAGUUUUAGAAGAGUGAAUAUAACCUAAGUAGAGUGAAUAUAACCCAAAAGGUGCCCAUGAGGAUGUAUUGGGAUGAGGAAAUAAAAUCCUGCAACUCCGAUGUUGACUUUUUAAUCUUAAAAAAAAGAAGCCAAGCUUCACUAUACUUAAUAUAUGUAUUGACAGCAUAAUUUAAAUAAAUGGACAUCUAGAGAACACAUCCUCAAAUUAUUUUACUAACCAGACUGCAUAAUUUAAAAUCUUUAGACAUUUUUGUUUCAGAAGACAACAAGCUCAGGAUAAAUCUGCACUAUGAUGUGAUUAUUAAAAACAAGCCAAAAUUAAAUCAUUUUCUUUCUGUUACUUAGCUUUUCCUUUGAAACAAACCACCCCAAGACAAAUUGGUUUACAACAACCACUGUUUACUAUUUAGAACUUGCAAAACAUCUCUUGUACUGUCAACGUCAUGUGAGGAAGGGUUGAAAGAAUUGGGAUGGUGAUGCUAGGAAAAGAGAGCAUUCACAGCAAAGAGGAAUACGUAUUAGACAUUCAACAAUCUUGAUUUCUUACAGUUCAAAGUCUGAUACAAUUUAUAGUGGAAAGAAAAAUAUUUUGAAUGGACAAUCCCUUGAAGCAACAGAAUUUUUUUUCUCUAAUUGAUUUAAUGCUUAUAAAACUAUAUGAUUUCAGAGAGUUUCAUUUGUGUGGAAUGACACAGUCGGCUAACAUCAGAAUUACUGGGAAAUCUCAAAGGAGAUGGAGGCUCAAAGUAAUUUUUUGCUGAGUGGUGCAAAACAGAAAAUGGACAUUUGCUUCUGGCACUGUGACCUUCUCCAGGACCUGUCCACGCUGCCCUCCCGAAUGCAGUGUAUUUCUGGAACACACUUGUGAUAUAACCAGUAACUAGUCUCCGUAAACACUCAACUUGACAGCAAGUGAGAGUUAAAAAAAAAAAAGUGUGUCUUUCGCAUCAAUGAAGAGUGCCACACUACAAAUAUAUUUCCUUUUUUCGUCAGAUAGAUGAUUUUUUAAAAAGAUCAAUUCAGAUGGACUAUAGUUCACUUAUUUUUCUUCUGGCUGUACACACGAAUACACUCAUUUUUGUUUUAAAACCAAUAGAGCUCUUAAGUAUUAUCAACUAUUGCUAAUUUAAAUAAAGAAUGUAUAGCUGAUCUAUACAUUUUCCAAUUAAGACAGCAUAAAACCUCCAUAUGUUUAAGAAUGCUGUACCCUCCACCUGCGUGCAUGCACAUUCAUACACAUUCACACCCGAUCCAACUCCACACUUCUCCACUGAUGACUAAACCAUUUGAGAUGGGUUGGUGGGGGACGGGAAAAGGGGCUGGGGAGGAUUUUUUUUUUUACAAUAGGCAUGCAUAAUAUUUACUGAACAAGACAUUUUACUCUGUAUUUUUUUAGUAUGUGGGGGAGAAUCAUCAUUUUGUUUAGACUUUAUACGGCAUGGGUUACUCAGUUCACAGCAGAGGCACCUGCACCAAAUUACUUUGUUGUAGCACAUUAAUUAUCUCAUAGCUUCUAUUUAGUCUGCAGCUGUUGCUUUUAUGUUAAUAUUUUUUAUCACCACUGUAUACAACAGGUUAUGGCAGGAAUAGAAAUAUCUCUAUUUUUUGUCCCCCCCCCC